GCCAGCCAUGGUGUGCAGGCCUGUAGUCCCAGCUACUCGGGAGAUCGAGGCAGGAGGAUCGCUUGAGCCCAGGAGUUCUGGGCUGUAGUGUGCUAUGGCCGAUCCAGUGUCUGUACUAAGUUUAGCAUCAAUAUGGUAACCUCCCAGGAACAGGGGACCACCAGGUUGUCUAAGGACGGGUAGACCAGCCCAGGUUGGAAAUGGAGCAGGUCGAAACUCCUAUGCUGACCAGCAGUGGGAUGGUGCCUGUGAAUAGCCACUGCACUUCAGCCUGGACAACAUAGUGAGACCCUGUCUCU
This 299-nucleotide signal recognition particle RNA is filed under the name Propithecus coquereli (Coquerel's sifaka). RNAcentral's name for it is "Metazoan signal recognition particle RNA (ENSPCOG00000004527.1)". It matches the Rfam family "Metazoan signal recognition particle RNA". From Rfam's summary of the family: The signal recognition particle (SRP) is a universally conserved ribonucleoprotein. It is involved in the co-translational targeting of proteins to membranes. Lineage: Eukaryota; Metazoa; Chordata; Mammalia; Primates; Indriidae. The record is from RNAcentral.